Molecule: non-coding RNA, 19 nt
Filed under: Arabidopsis thaliana (thale cress)
Lineage: Eukaryota; Viridiplantae; Streptophyta; Magnoliopsida; Brassicales; Brassicaceae
Source: RNAcentral
CCAUUGGAUUUGGAGGAGC